RNAcentral lists this long non-coding RNA (696 nucleotides) under Androctonus crassicauda. The record is from RNAcentral. Lineage: Eukaryota; Metazoa; Arthropoda; Arachnida; Scorpiones; Buthidae.
CGUUUAUGUGAUAUGGUGGCUUACUUAAAAUUAUUCUUAACUAUCUUUUUAAAUCGGUAAACAUAAUAAUUUUCUGUUGCUCAAUAAAUAAUGUUUAUCAAUUUAGAAUUUUUUAAAGGACAAAUUUAAAAAGAUUGUUAACCGAAACUCGAGAUUUGAUAUUUUAUCUCUUUAUUUACGAGAAAAUUCGAACUUUUUGGAUCGAGCUGAUUCCAGCCAAUAACUCUAGUUGUGGAUGGUAUUUUUUUUUUUACGCUCCUUUCUAAUCAGUGAGAUUAAUAAUGAGCGGGGCCAAUUCCAAUCACACACUGAAUCCACUUCCGUGGAGAGGAUCGCCAGCUAGGCUCGGAAUUCCAAAAUUUUCAGGAAAUGCCGGAGACGGGAUGCGAACCCGGACACACGUUACCAACACGUUACCACUCAGCCAUCCGGCUUGUGGAUGAUAUAGUAAAUAUUAGUUACGUAAAUAUUACAGUUAACUGGAACUGUAAUAUUUACGUAAGUAAUAUUAUUAUUGGUACAAUGUUUAUAUUUGAAACUCACAUUCUGAAGUUCAAAUAUUUAUUAUAUUUUUAAUUUCAUCCAUUGUAUUGUUAACAGAUGACGCUACUUUCCAUUCUGGGAGAAUACUAAGUGGCGGGGCGAAACAAGCCCUUCUACAGGCUGCCCACCUCUGCGGAAGGCCAGCCGGAUUGU